This 253-nucleotide ribosomal RNA is filed under the name uncultured bacterium. RNAcentral's name for it is "partial 16S ribosomal RNA". It matches the Rfam family "Bacterial small subunit ribosomal RNA", at positions 524 to 776 of the family's 1533-position model. The record is from RNAcentral.
GACAGAGGGUGCAACCGUUGUUCGGAAUUACUGGGCGUAAAGCGCACGUAGGCGGUCUCUUAAGUCGGUGGUGAAAUCCUGGAGCUCAACUCCAGAACUGCCUUCGAUACUGAGAGUCUCGAGUCCGGGAGAGGUGAGUGGAACUGCGAGUGUAGAGGUGAAAUUCGUAGAUAUUCGCAAGAACACCAGUGGCGAAGGCGGCUCACUGGCCCGGUACUGACGCUGAGGUGCGAAAGCGUGGGGAGCAAACAGG